GAUGAACGCUGGCGGCGUGCCUAAUACAUGCAAGUCGAGCGAAAAGACGAGGCGCUUGCUCCUCUGACGUUAGCGGCGGACGGGUGUGUAACACGUGGAUAACCUACCUAUCAGACUGGGAUAACUUCGGGAAACCGGCGCUUAUCCCGGAUAAUAUAUUGAACCGCAUGGUUGAAUGGUGAAAGACGGUUUUGCUGUCUCUUCUCGCUGGUUCCGCGCCGCAUUGGCUAGUUGGUAAGGUCACGGCUUAUCAAGGCGACGAUGCGUGGCCGACCUGAGUGGCUGGUCGGCCACACGGGAAGUGGGACAGGGUCCAGACGCCUACGGGAGGCAGCAGUAGGGAAUCGUCCGCAAUGGGCGAGAGCCUGACGGAGCGACGCCGCGUGAGUGAUGAAGGUCUUCGGAUCGUAAAGCUCUGUUAUGAGUUAAGAACAAAUGUGGAAGUAACUAUGCACGGCGUGACGGUACCGAGUCAGAAAGCCACGGCUAACUACGUG
Molecule: ribosomal RNA, 497 nt
Filed under: uncultured bacterium
Lineage: Bacteria
Description: partial 16S ribosomal RNA
Rfam family: Bacterial small subunit ribosomal RNA
Source: RNAcentral